Long non-coding RNA from Stomoxys calcitrans (stable fly), 1172 nucleotides. RefSeq lists it as uncharacterized. The transcript is spliced from 2 exons. The record is from RefSeq and is a predicted model, not a curated record. NCBI's taxonomy places the organism in Eukaryota, Metazoa, Arthropoda, Insecta, Diptera, Muscidae.
CCCAGAGAGCUGCAUUCUUUUGAUACUCCAACACAGAGAACAAAUGUAUGUUUUGCUUUUGGAAAAAGGCCAAUGACGUUGCCUAAUCUCAGUCGGCAGCAAUAAAAAAAACUGAGAAAAAAAAUCGUGAGUUCAAAUAAGAGAAAUGCUUUGGGUCUCCUCGAGUCUGCAUUUUUGCCAACAAAGACCACAGCUAAGGAAUGUUUUUGUAAAUUCUCGUUUAACCGGAUACUCACACAUUUGGACCGUGUGGCACUUUAUAUUUUCGCAAGUUGUAGACAUAGUAGUAAGCGCUCAAACAUGUGGUGUGGUCUUCGGAUUUUUGGUCAAAUAUACAGACGAAGUGUUGGUCGCUCAGUCUGUCGGUCGUCUAAUGUCUAUGGCUUUUUUACGGUCAUCAACAUUACACAGCAACGGAUGUACGUAGUACAUACACGUAUAAGAGUGUGACUGAAUAAACGGAAAGAGACAGACAGUCAUCUGCCGUAUAGAGGAACCUCUUCGUCACUUCUUGGCGUAUACUCCCUGCCGAAUGGCCUUAAGUUGCUGUGAAUAAGUGGCCGGCCAAAGUUAUAGUGGAUGGAUGCAUCAUCAAACAUACAAGACAUUCAUGUGUGCAGUAACAAAAAAGACAAUGUACAUUGGUGUCUUGUGUGAUGUACAACAAACAAAUAACAGCUGCAGUAGCAGACAAAUUUUACUGCAGCCCGCCCAGCUUAUUUGGAGCCUUUCAACUGACAGUACUCACCGAGCACAGACGAAGUCCAUCAACUACACUUGCUUUCUAAGAAUUAUCAAUGUAUACACAAGAAAGUGUGGAAACAAAAAACUGUACCUCCACAUAAAUUUUUCAAAUUAACACCUGUUACCUCUGAGUGUACGAUACCUUGAAGCAAGCGUACACAAUUAAGACGAUGACGGCAAAGUAAAAUUUCGGUGGAAAGUUUCCAAAACCGAUGCCUCCUCCCAAAUACCUACAUAUCUGUGUUCAUUCACAAUCAUUUUCAUUUAUUCAUCGAUAAAAAAUAUGAAUCAUUUAGAUGUUCGUGGGAAACACAAACUCAUACUAAUGUAAACAUAAACAUUAGACGGUCUGUCCCAAAGUUUUUUUAAGUUUUCCCAUACGAUAAAACAAUAAAUGCUACCAAAUGUUCAAAACGUAUUCUAAUCAA